This 193-nucleotide non-coding RNA is filed under the name Pan troglodytes (chimpanzee). RNAcentral also lists the same sequence under 2 other names. The record is from RNAcentral. Lineage: Eukaryota; Metazoa; Chordata; Mammalia; Primates; Hominidae.
ACGGGUCAUCAUUUAUUGAGAUGAGAAUUCACAUAAAGUAACAUCAUACAGAAAAUCGUUUCCAGGCCUUAAGAAAAAUGAUUGUCACUCACUGUGCUUCACAAAAAUUUCUUUUAAUGAAUAAAUAAUUUGAUGAAAUCAAAAAUAUUUACAAUAUAAACACAUGGAAAAGCUCUGGGUCCGUGAAUCUGAU